UACGUAGGGGGCAAGCGUUGUCCGGAAUCAUUGGGCGUAAAGCGCGCGUAGGCGGCCCGGUAAGUCCGCUGUCAAAGUCAGGGGCUCAACCCUUGAACGCCGGUGGAUACUGCCGGGCUAGAGUCCGGAAGAGGCGAGUGGAAUUCCUGGUGUAGCGGUGGAAUGCGCAGAUAUCAGGAGGAACACCAAUAGCGAAGGCAGCUCGCUGGGACGGUACUGACGCUGAGGCGCGAAAGCGUGGGGAGCGAACAGG
Molecule: ribosomal RNA, 253 nt
Filed under: uncultured bacterium
Lineage: Bacteria
Description: partial 16S ribosomal RNA
Rfam family: Bacterial small subunit ribosomal RNA
Source: RNAcentral